RNAcentral lists this small RNA (3061 nucleotides) under Pongo abelii (Sumatran orangutan). RNAcentral's name for it is "retained intron". The record is from RNAcentral. Lineage: Eukaryota; Metazoa; Chordata; Mammalia; Primates; Hominidae.
CAGCAUGCCUACCGCCUGCUCGUCAGCCAGAGGAGGCCCGCUGGCAUCUCCUACAGGCAGUUUGAAGGCCUCAUGCGCUUCUACAAGCCCCGGAUGAGUGCCAGGGAGCGCUAUCUUACCUUCAAGGCCCUGAAUCAGAACAACACACCCCUGCUCAGCCUAAAGGACUUUUACGAUAUCUACGAAGUUGCUGCUUUGAAGUGGAAGGCCAAGAAAAACAGAGAGCACUGGUUUGAUGAGCUUCCCAGGACGGCGCUCCUCAUCUUCAAAGGCAUUAAUAUCCUUGUGAAGUCCAAGGCCUUCCAGUAUUUCAUGUACUUGGUGGUGGCAGUCAACGGGGUCUGGAUCCUCGUGGAGACAUUUAUGCUGAAAGGUGAGCCCCGCUCGGGGACUGGCCAUGUCCUGGCCGGCACACCUGGCUUGCCUGUGAGCUGCUACUUCUCUGUCUUACAGGUGGGAACUUCUUCUCCAAGCACGUGCCCUGGAGUUACCUCGUCUUUCUAACUAUCUAUGGGGUGGAGCUGUUCCUGAAGGUUGCCGGCCUGGGCCCUGUGGAGUACUUGUCUUCCGGAUGGAACUUGUUCGACUUCUCCGUGACAGUGUUCGCCUUCCUGGGACUGCUGGCGCUGGCCCUCAACAUGGAGCCCUUCUAUUUCAUCGUGGUCCUGCGCCCCCUCCAGCUGCUGAGGUUGUUUAAGUUGAAGGAGCGCUACCGCAACGUGCUGGACACCAUGUUCGAGCUGCUGCCCCGGAUGGCCAGGUACUGCCAGCCCCCACCCUGGCCUGCAGGUCCAGGUGCCGUGUGGCAGUGCCCCGUGGGGGCGGGAGCUGAGUGGCAGUCGGGGGAAAGGAGUUCCACAAAGGACUGCAAUCGAGGGCCUGAUGGGGCUCCAAGGAGCCUGGAAUCUUGACCACCACAGGUCUCCUGGGCACCAUUUUUCUCCACUGACCUGUCUGACAUAUUUAGUAGGGAGGGCAGGGAGCUGUCAACUUGCUUACCACCUGUGUCUACAUUCACAGGUAAGGGGUCACCUGUGAGUCUACCUUCACAGGUAAGGGGUGAAUCUCUGGGAAAGGGGCAUUUGUUCAUAGCGUCCUGACUUGAGCUGUUUUUCACCCCAGAGCUGCCCCACGAGGCCCCUUCCCCGCAGGCACUUUCCAGUUGGUGAACCGACCAGGGGCAUGGCCCUGCAGUCAGCCCCAUGGGUCCGAGGAGGCCGGGGCUGUAGAGGAGCCGUUCCCUCCUGCCGGCCCCGCGUCACCCUGCCCCUGUCACCCCACAGCCUGGGCCUCACCCUGCUCAUCUUUUACUACUCCUUCGCCAUCGUGGGCAUGGAGUUCUUCUGCGGGAUCGUCUUCCCCAACUGCUGCAACACGAGUACAGUGGCAGAUGCCUACCGCUGGCGCAACCACACCGUGGGCAACAGGACUGUGGUGGAGGAAGGCUACUAUUAUCUCAAUAAUUUUGACAACAUCCUCAACAGCUUUGUGACCCUGUUUGAGCUCACAGUUGUCAACAACUGGUACAUCAUCAUGGAAGGCGUCACCUCUCAGACCUCCCACUGGAGCCGCCUCUACUUCAUGACCUUUUACAUUGUGACCAUGGUGGUGAUGACGAUCAUUGUCGCCUUUAUCCUCGAGGCCUUCGUCUUCCGAAUGAACUACAGCCGCAAGAACCAGGACUCGGAAGGUUUGUGCAGCGAUGAUGCCUUGGGCAUUUGAUGUCUGCCGCCUACCCAGCUCUGUCUGUCUGUCUGGGUGGCUGUCCACCCAGCCAUCAGGCUGUCAUUUUUCUUCUGUCUGGUUGUCCAGCUUAUCUAUCUGGCUUGUCUCUCUAGAUCUUGUAUUUGCAUUGAUUUUCAAAUAUUUAAUGUCAGAAAACAUGAUCUAACUUUAAAAUAAGACAGAGCAUGUCAUAGUUGGAGAAAAAUCAAGAAGUAGAGAAAGGCUUAUGUGGCAGCAGCAGCCCCUGCCCUGCCUUUCCCUCCCGUCCUCCAGAGGCUUCUCCUUCUUAGCUAUUUCUUCUGUUAGUCAUCUCCACGUUUCUCAAUAAUAGGUUCACACUACGGUUCUUGAUUUAAAUGGUGUAAAUAUUGUUUAUGGCACAGGCGAAUCGUAUUCCUGCUGCAACUGGAUGGUGCUGGCUUUAGUGAUUGCCUCACUUUUCCCAGAUUGCACAGCUUUCUGCGUACUGACCGUCCCUUCUUCCCAAAUUCUCCAUCAAAACUGUCCGUACUUGAUCUCUUGAGCCCAGGAGGUCAAGACUGCAGUGAGCCAUGAUCACACCACUGCCCUCCAGCCUGGGCAGCGGAGUGAGACCCUGUCUCUUAAAAGAAACAGAAAACCCUGUGCCCACACUUGUUACUUCUCAUCCUCAGAUCUCUGUGCUAUCAGACCAUCUGACCAUUUUCUCUGUACUUAGAGGCCCCUUCCUGAAACCCUCUGGCCCUGUAACAGCUGCCAGCUAGACCUGCGCUCCUGACAUCAUAGCAGAGGGAGGGGAAGGGAAGGGAGGGCCAAGGAGGAGAGCAGGACACCAAUGCAGUGUCAGUGUCAGUUUAGAGAGAGAACCUUAAGACCCCCUGCGGAGGGGGGCAAAGAGGUACGAGACCCAGCCAGGUUGGCAGCUCCAGCCCCGGGCCUUUCCCACACCCGCCUUCCAUCCCUGCAGUUGAUGGUGGCAUCACCCUUGAGAAGGAAAUCUCCAAAGAAGAGCUGGUUGCCGUCCUGGAGCUCUACCGGGAGGCACGGGGGGCCUCCUCGGAUGUCACCCGGCUGCUGGAGACCCUCUCCCAGAUGGAGAGAUACCAGCAACAUUCCAUGGUAUUUCUGGGACGGCGAUCAAGGACCAAGAGCGACCUGAGCCUGAAGAUGUACCAGGAGGAGAUCCAGGAGUGGUAUGAGGAGCAUGCCAGGGAGCAGGAGCAGCAGCGACAGCUCAGCAGCAGCACAGCCCCCGCCGCCCAGCAGCCCCCAGGCAGCCGCCAGCGCUCCCAGACCAUUACCUAGCCCAGCGCCCGAAAGCCGUCUCUUCUAUGCAAUAACACAAUAGUAUUACUCU